RNAcentral lists this ribosomal RNA (327 nucleotides) under Klebsiella pneumoniae. RNAcentral's name for it is "bacterial SSU rRNA". It matches the Rfam family "Bacterial small subunit ribosomal RNA", at positions 308 to 627 of the family's 1533-position model. The record is from RNAcentral. Lineage: Bacteria; Pseudomonadati; Pseudomonadota; Gammaproteobacteria; Enterobacterales; Enterobacteriaceae.
CCACACUGGAACUGAGACACGGUCCAGACUCCUACGGGAGGCAGCAGUGGGGAAUAUUGCACAAUGGGCGCAAGCCUGAUGCAGCCAUGCCGCGUGUGUGAAGAAGGCCUUCGGGUUGUAAAGCACUUUCAGCGGGGAGGAAGGCGUUAAGGUUAAUAACCUUGGCGAUUGACGUUACCCGCAGAAGAAGCACCGGCUAACUCCGUGCCAGCAGCCGCGGUAAUACGGAGGGUGCAAGCGUUAAUCGGAAUUACUGGGCGUAAAGCGCACGCAGGCGGUCUGUCAAGUCGGAUGUGAAAUCCCCGGGCUCAACCUGGGAACUGCAUU